Molecule: unclassified non-coding RNA, 177 nt
Filed under: uncultured Hypocreales
Lineage: Eukaryota; Fungi; Ascomycota; Sordariomycetes; Hypocreales
Description: sequence contains ITS2
Source: RNAcentral
CAACCCUCGGGCCCCCCCUCUGCGGGCGGCCCGGCGUUGGGGCUCAGGCGCCGUCUCUGCUCGGCGCCUGUCCCCUAAAUGCAGUGGCGGCCUCGCCGCUGCCUCCUCCGCGUAGUAGCACAAACCUCGCGGCUGGAAGGCGGCGCGGCCACGCCGUGAAACCCCCAACUUUACCAA